UUCCGGUUGAUCCUGCCGGACCUGACUGCUAUCGGAUUGAUACUAAGCCAUGCGAGUCAUUGUAGCAAUACAAGGCAUACGGCUCAGUAACGCGUAGUCAACCUAACCUAUGGACGGGAAUAACCUCGGGAAACUGAGAAUAAUGCCCGAUAGAACAUUAUGCCUGGAAUGGUUUAUGUUCCAAAUGAUUUAUCGCCGUAGGAUGGGACUGCGGCCUAUCAGUUUGUUGGUGAGGUAAUGGCCCACCAAGACUAUUACAGGUACGGGCUCUGAGAGGAGUAGCCCGGAGAUGGGUACUGAGACACGGACCCAGGCCCUAUGGGGCGCAGCAGGCGAGAAAACUUUGCAAUGUGCGAAAGCACGACAAGGUUAAUCCGAGUGAUUUGUGCUAAACGAAUCUUUUGUUAGUCCUAGAACCACUAACGAAUAAGGGGUGGGCAAGUUCUGGUGUCAGCCGCCGCGGUAAAACCAGCACCUCAAGUGGUCAGGAUGAUUAUUGGGCCUAAAGCAUCCGUAGCCGGCUCUGUAAGUUUUCGGUUAAAUCUGUACGCUUAACGUACAGGCUGCCGGGAAUACUGCAGAGCUAGGGAGUGGGAGAGGUAGACGGUACUCGGUAGGAAGUGGUAAAAUGCUUUGAUCUAUCGAUGACCACCUGUGGCGAAGGCGGUCUACCAGAACACGUCCGACGGUGAGGGAUGAAAGCUGGGGGAGCAAACCGGAUUAGAUACCCGGGUAGUCCCAGCUGUAAACUAUGCAAACUCAGUGAUGCAUUGGCUUGUGGCCAAUGCAGUGCUGCAGGGAAGCCGUUAAGUUUGCCGCCUGGGAAGUACGUACGCAAGUAUGAAACUUAAAGGAAUUGGCGGGGGAGCACCACAAGGGGUGAAGCCUGCGGUUCAAUUGGAGUCAACGCCGGG
Molecule: ribosomal RNA, 914 nt
Filed under: uncultured marine archaeon
Lineage: Archaea
Description: bacterial SSU rRNA
Rfam family: Archaeal small subunit ribosomal RNA
Source: RNAcentral